RNAcentral lists this ribosomal RNA (809 nucleotides) under uncultured bacterium. RNAcentral describes it as "bacterial SSU rRNA". It matches the Rfam family "Bacterial small subunit ribosomal RNA", at positions 33 to 828 of the family's 1533-position model. RNAcentral also lists the same sequence under 1 other name. The record is from RNAcentral.
ACGCUAGCUACAGGCUUAACACACGCAAGUCGAGGGGAAACGAUAUUGGAAGCUUGCUUCCGAAUAGGCGUCGACCGGCGCACGGGUGAGUAACGCGUAUCCAACCUGCCCAUCACUUGGGGAUAACCUUGCGAAAGUAAGACUAAUACCCAAUGACGUCUCUAGAAGACAUCUGAAAGAGAUUAAAGAUUUAUCGGUGAUGGAUGGGGAUGCGUCUGAUUAGCUUGUUGGCGGGGUAACGGCCCACCAAGGCGACGAUCAGUAGGGGUUCUGAGAGGAAGGUCCCCCACAUUGGAACUGAGACACGGUCCAAACUCCUACGGGAGGCAGCAGUGAGGAAUAUUGGUCAAUGGGCGAGAGCCUGAACCAGCCAAGUAGCGUGCAGGAUGACGGCCCUAUGGGUUGUAAACUGCUUUUAUAAGGGAAUAAAGUGGGAGUCGUGACUCCUUUUGCAUGUACCUUAUGAAUAAGGACCGGCUAAUUCCGUGCCAGCAGCCGCGGUAAUACGGAAGGUCCGGGCGUUAUCCGGAUUUAUUGGGUUUGAAGGGAGCGUAGGCCGGAGAUUAAGCGUGUUGUGAAAUGUAGACGCUCAACGUCUGCACUGCAGCGCGAACUGGUUUCCUUGAGUACGCACAAAGUGGGCGGAAUUCGUGGUGUAGCGGUGAAAUGCUUAGAUAUCACGAAGAACUCCGAUUGCGAAGGCAGCUCACUGGAGCGCAACUGACGCUGAAGCUCGAAAGUGCGGGUAUCGAACAGGAUUAGAUACCCUGGUAGUCCGCACGGUAAACGAUGGAUGCCCGCUGUUGGUU